AAGCUCGAUCUAGAACCUUGUUAAGGUUCAGCUGUGAUAAAUGCACAUUUUUGCAUUUUCUUAACUGGUCUUUAGAUUUUGAUCAGGAGUUUUUGAUCAAAGAACAAUGGAUUCUUCUCUGGAAGACAAGAUCCCUUUUUAUUUUUUCUCUCAUAGCUCCACAAACAGAGACGUGUCCUAAAGUCCAGAAAAGGUUCUGCAGACGUGAACAAUGGCGUCUGUUGGUGCUGUGUACAGUCCUGUCAGCUGGGAUCAUCAUUCUAUCCUCAUUCACGUGGGUCAACAAUAACAAUCUGCAGAUGGAAGUCAAGGAGCAAAAGAAUCACUCUGAAGACAUGGUGGUUAACAUUAACAAUCUGCACAGAGAAGUGAAGGAGCUAAAGAUACACUUUGAAGAUCUUCUGUUGUCUUUGGAAAACAGACUGAAAACCAGAAACAAUCACCUGCAGACUGAACUUUCAGACAUGGCGGUCAACAUUAACAAUCUGCAGAGAGAAGUGAAGGAGCUAAAGAUACACUUUGAAGGUGAGAAAGAUUAA
RNAcentral lists this long non-coding RNA (539 nucleotides) under Oryzias sinensis (Chinese medaka). Its description in RNAcentral is "lncRNA (ENSOSIG00000004721.1)". Lineage: Eukaryota; Metazoa; Chordata; Actinopteri; Beloniformes; Adrianichthyidae. The record is from RNAcentral.